GGUUAUUUGUGAUCCGGUUUCCGCGCAACCUCCUGGCGGGCCCUGAAUGUGAACUGUUUUGAACCUGGAGAUUUUGCCUGUUCAGCUGAGCCCCAAAUUAAGCUGGAUUUGACACCUAUUUGUAUAGACAUGACAGCAAAAUGUCAAAAGGGGGGCGGCGGUAAGUUGAUCGGUAUCUUGCAUCUGCAUAUGUAGACACUUCCAG
Non-coding RNA from Paramuricea clavata, 205 nucleotides. The record is from the annotation of a GenBank genome assembly. Lineage: Eukaryota; Metazoa; Cnidaria; Anthozoa; Malacalcyonacea; Plexauridae.